GACAGAGGUUGCAAACGUUGUUCGGAAUUACUGGGCAUAAAGCGCACGUAGGUGGUCCGCUAAGUCGUGUGUGAAAUGCCCCGGCUCAACCGGGGAAUUGCGCACGAUACUGGCGGGCUUGAGGUCGGGAGGGGUGAGUGGAACUCCUGGUGGAGCGGUGAAAUGCGUAGAUAUCAGGAGGAGCACCUAUUGCGAAGGCAGCUCGCUGGGACGUAACUGACGCUGAGACGCGAAAGCGUGGGGAGCAAACAGG
Molecule: ribosomal RNA, 253 nt
Filed under: uncultured bacterium
Lineage: Bacteria
Description: partial 16S ribosomal RNA
Rfam family: Bacterial small subunit ribosomal RNA
Source: RNAcentral